UGCUCGGUAGCUUAGUGGGUAAAGCACUUGUCUAGCAUACAAGAGUCCUAGGUUCGAAUCUCAGCUGAGCAC
This 72-nucleotide transfer RNA is filed under the name Aedes aegypti (yellow fever mosquito). It matches the Rfam family "tRNA". Rfam says of the family: Transfer RNA (tRNA) molecules are approximately 80 nucleotides in length. The record is from Rfam by way of RNAcentral. Lineage: Eukaryota; Metazoa; Arthropoda; Insecta; Diptera; Culicidae.